This is a non-coding RNA of Podospora didyma, 120 nucleotides long. Lineage: Eukaryota; Fungi; Ascomycota; Sordariomycetes; Sordariales; Podosporaceae. The record is from the annotation of a GenBank genome assembly.
GGGUUGCUGGCGCAGUGGUUAGCGCAUCCGACUUCCGUCGAACGGGCAAUCCUCAGUUUUGGGCUGGGGAUUUCCCGUUCGGUGUUCAGGAGGUUGUGGGUCCGAGUCCCACGCGGCUCA